This 484-nucleotide ribosomal RNA is filed under the name uncultured bacterium. Its description in RNAcentral is "partial 16S ribosomal RNA". It matches the Rfam family "Bacterial small subunit ribosomal RNA", at positions 30 to 507 of the family's 1533-position model. The record is from RNAcentral.
AUUGAACGCUGGCGGCAGGCCUAGCACAUGCAAGUCGAGCGGAUGAAGGGAGCUUGCUCCUGGAUUCAGCGGCGGACGGGUGAGUAAUGCCUAGGAAUCUGCCUGGUAGUGGGGGAUAACGUCCGGAAACGGGCGCUAAUACCGCAUACGUCCUGAGGGAGAAAGUGGGGGAUCUUCGGACCUCACGCUAUCAGAUGAGCCUAGGUCGGAUUAGCUAGUUGGUGGGGUAAAGGCCUACCAAGGCGACGAUCCGUAACUGGUCUGAGAGGAUGAUCAGUCACACGGGAACUGAGACACGGUCCAGACUCCUACGGGAGGCAGCAGUGGGGAAUAUUGGACAAUGGGCGAAAGCCUGAUCCAGCCAUGCCGCGUGUGUGAAGAAGGUCUUCGGAUUGUAAAGCACUUUAAGUUGGGAGGAAGGGCAGUAAGUUAAUACCUGGCUGUUUUGACGUUACCAACAGAAUAAGCACCGGCUAACUUCGUG